AAACAACCAGGAUGUUGGCUUAGAAGCAGCCAUCAUUUAAAGAAAGCGUAACAGCUCACUGGUCUAAACAAGGGUUUCUGCGCCGAAAAUGUAACGGGGCUAAAGCUACGUACCGAAGCUGCGGGUGUGGAGCAAUCCACGCUGUAGAGGAGCGUUCCGUAAGCCUGUGAAGGGAUACCCGUGAGGGGUCCUGGAGGUAUCGGAAGUGCGAAUGCUGACACGAGUAACGAGAGGAGUGUGAGAAACACUCCCGCCGAAAAGUCCAAGGGUUCCUGCGUAAAGUUAAUCUGCGCAGGGUUAGCCGGCCCCUAAGGCGAGGGCGAAAGCCGUAGCCGAUGGGAACCACGUUAAUAUUCGUGGGCCAGUGGGUGAGUGACGGAUGCCGCAAGUUGUCGAGGCUUAUCGGAUUGCCGAGGCAGCGAAGGUGUCCCAGGAAAUAGCCCCCACAUAGACCGUACCCGAAACCGACACAGGUGGACUGGUAGAGAAUACCAAGGCGCUUGAGAGAAGUGUGCUGAAGGAACUCGGCAAAUUACCUGCGUAACUUCGGG
This 551-nucleotide ribosomal RNA is filed under the name uncultured bacterium. Its description in RNAcentral is "bacterial LSU rRNA". It matches the Rfam family "Bacterial large subunit ribosomal RNA", at positions 1087 to 1740 of the family's 2925-position model. The record is from RNAcentral.